AGAGCUGUAACACUCACGGGGAAGGUCUGC
RNAcentral lists this non-coding RNA (30 nucleotides) under Homo sapiens (human). Lineage: Eukaryota; Metazoa; Chordata; Mammalia; Primates; Hominidae. The record is from RNAcentral.